CCUACGGGAUGCAGCAGUGAGGAAUAUUGGUCAAUGGACGAGAGUCUGAACCAGCCAAGUAGCGUGAAGGAUGACUGCCCUAUGGGUUGUAAACUUCUUUUAUAUGGGAAUAAAAUCUUCUACGUGUAGUAUUUUGUAUGUACCAUAUGAAUAAGGAUCGGCUAACUCCGUGCCAGCAGCCGCGGUAAUACGGAGGAUCCGAGCGUUAUCCGGAUUUAUUGGGUUUAAAGGGAGCGUAGGCGGAUUGUUAAGUCAGUUGUGAAAGUUUGAGGCUCAACAGUAAAAUUGCAGUUGAUACUGGAUGUCUUGAGGACAGUAGAGGUGGGCGGAAUUCGUGGUGUAGCGGUGAAAUGCUUAGAGAUCACGAAGAACUCCGAUUGCGAAGGCAGCUUACUGGACUGUAACUGACACUGAUGCUCGAAAGUGUGGGUAUCAAACAGGAUUAGAUACCCUUGUAGUC
This 460-nucleotide ribosomal RNA is filed under the name uncultured bacterium. RNAcentral's name for it is "partial 16S ribosomal RNA". It matches the Rfam family "Bacterial small subunit ribosomal RNA", at positions 338 to 795 of the family's 1533-position model. The record is from RNAcentral.